Molecule: ribosomal RNA, 497 nt
Filed under: uncultured bacterium
Lineage: Bacteria
Description: partial 16S ribosomal RNA
Rfam family: Bacterial small subunit ribosomal RNA
Source: RNAcentral
GACGAACGCUGGCGGCGUGCCUAAUACAUGCAAGUUGAGCGCUGAAGGUUGGUACUUGUACCAACUGGAUGAGCAGCGAACGGGUGAGUAACGCGUGGGGAAUCUGCCUUUGAGCGGGGGACAACAUUUGGAAACGAAUGCUAAUACCGCAUAAAAACUUUAAACACAAGUUUUAAGUUUGAUAGAUGCAAUUGCAUCACUCAAAGAUGAUCCCGCGUUGUAUUAGCUAGUUGGUGAGGUAAAGGCUCACCAAGGCGAUGAUACAUAGCCGACCUGAGAGGGUGAUCGGCCACAUUGGGACUGAGACACAGCCCAAACUCCUACGGGAGGCAGCAGUAGGGAAUCUUCGGCAAUGGACGAAAGUCUGACCGAGCAACGCCGCGUGAGUGAAGAAGGUUUUCGGAUCGUAAAACUCUGUUGGUAGAGAAGAACGUUGGUGAGAGUGGAAAGCUCAUCAAGUGACGGUAACUACCCAGAAGGGGACGGCUAACUACGUG